RNAcentral lists this ribosomal RNA (332 nucleotides) under uncultured Polymyxa. RNAcentral describes it as "SSU rRNA". The stretch from base 124 to 332 matches the Rfam family "Eukaryotic small subunit ribosomal RNA", at positions 744 to 955 of the family's 1831-position model. Lineage: Eukaryota; Endomyxa; Phytomyxea; Plasmodiophorida; Plasmodiophoridae. The record is from RNAcentral.
GACUUGUGUGCGCCGGAUGCGGCGAUCUGCGGCCAAAAGGUCGUUGCGAUCAGCCCGUCCUGGCGCCGUAAAAUUUGCAACUGAGUCGCCUCUGGUCUUAAUUGGUCGGUGGCGUCUGCUCGGUUGCUCGUUUACUGUGAGAAAAUUAGAGUGUUCAAGGCAGGCGUUUGUAAUUGAAUAUGUUAGCAUGGAAUAAUGAGAUAUGGCUCCCGUGUCUUGUUGGUUUUGUGAUGUGGAAGUAAUGAUUGAUAGGGACGGUUGGGGGUGCUAGUAUUCAGCGGCCAGAGGUGAAAUUCAUGGAUUCGCUGAAGACUGACUUCUGCGAAAGCAUU